GGAUUUUAAAAAGAAGCUACAGCCGUUUUUUGGAGUUAAAAAAGGACCUAAGACCUUCCUUCUUCAAAAAACUUAACAAAACCCCUAGAAAAGAUAAGAUUCUUCUUCAACCUAAAACAAAAACCCUAGCGACCAAACAGAUCUAGCCGUCAUCUUCUCCAAGCAGCAGCCUGUCUCCCUCACCAACCCAUUCCUCUCCUGGUGAUGCUGCCAGCAACAGAACAACGGCAAACUCGCCGGAAAAUGCACAAAAACCAGAUGCAAAUCUCCACCUCCUCAACCAAAGAAUGGGACUGAAAUAGCCACGAAAAUCUCCACCACCACCAGCCCGUUUCAGCCACGAAAAGCUAUCACUUUAGCUAUGAGAAAGAGCAACCAAAAAGCCCCAACAAGACAGAGGAUCUCUGGAUCGAUGUACCCACAAAAGUCUUUGUUUUAAUAUCAUGGAUGUACUCACGUUAAGAUCAGUUCAUGCUUCUCUGUUUGAGUCAAACUUUGGUUUCAAAAAUAGAUUUCGUGUGAGAUCCAUUUGGAGUUGACGAGCGAGGUUGCUGGUUUGAGGUUCGUCGUGGUCGAAUUUGAGUUUGUCGAAUUUCAAUUUGUUGGUUUUAUUGUCAAUUUUCCGUCGCUUAGCAUUUUCAAGCUGUCAAACAAUCAUAUUUCAGAUUUGUUCAAAGUCUAUUUCUCCCUUUCUCCUACUAUUUUGCCUUAGUUCCAUGUUUAUGUUGUGUUGAUCUUUUAAUUAAGGUUUCGUUGUUGUUUGUGAUGCCUUAAUAGUGUUUGUGUCGUUUUCUUUGUUCUGAUAAUAUAAUGUUUGGGUGUUUCCUUCGUGAAUUUGUAUUCGGAUGGAAUUCAGUGGUUGAAAUAAGUUCCUUUGUAUUCCUGUCAUAGUGCUUUCGUUGAAAAUAAACGUCCCAUAGUUUAGAAUCAAAUUUUGACGAAGAAAGGUUAAGUUAACUUGAUUAAGUAAUUUGAUUGCCCUUCUCCUUUUUUUUGAAUGUGGGGAUUGGACAUCUAGAAUGAAAAUCAAACUUACCAAUUUACUUUGCCUGCUCGGACCAUUAGGAGCAUGUUUAGGCCUACCACACCCGGGUAGGCGAACCUUUAGGCACGUAAUUAAAUCAUCACAACUACGGGUAUGGUUUCCAUGGCGUAGUUGUGAUAAUUAAUCUCAAAUUAGUUUUAAAUAUGAACAUCCGUAGGCCACUUAGUUGAAUGCUUUUCCUUUAAUAAAAUUGAGGUGUGCCAUUCAAACACCUAGUCUAUGGCCCUCACAUCGAUAGUUGUGACACCUAAUUUCUAAAUCCGGUGGUACAUUUAUGUGACCCGGCCAUAAUUUAAUCUUAUUAAGAAAAUAAACAUGUUAUGGAUCAUGGGUAAGGUUCCCGUGACAUGAUUCGCAACGUGUAAUCAAAUAAUUAGUUGUUUGACAAUUUGAUUAUUAAAAGCGGUUUAAAAGGAAUAAAAAUGCACAUGGGUUGCAAAGAUGUUUUAAAAUCAGAUAAAUAGGCCAAUAAUAAUAGUUAAGCGACCGUGCUAGAACCACGGAAUCCGGGAUUGCCUAACACUUUCUCCCGGGUUAACACAAUUUCUUACCCGGAUUUUUGUGUUUGCAGACCAUAAGUAGAGUCAACUUUUCUCGAUUCGGGAUUUUAAACCGGUGACUUGGGACACCAUAAACUAUCCCCAAGUGGCGACUCUGAUUUUAAUAUAAAUAAUCCCGUUUCGAUUGUUACUUAAAUUGGAAAAAACUCCAUUAUACCGCUUUCCUUCGGGGUGGUAAAAAGGAGGUGUGACAACUCUGACGACUCUGCUGGGGAUGAGAACCCAGAACUUCUGGUUCAAGGUUCAAGAAUUCGAUCUUAGAAUAGUUGUUAUAUUUGGCUUUAUUUAUUAUCUGAUUUUAUUUACAUGUUUGGGCUUAAUGUGCUAAAUGUUGCUUUUUACUGCUUUGAUAUUAUCUGAACUGUAUAUAAACUGCUACGAAACCCCUCUCUUUUAAUCUUCUGAGAAGUGCACGCUGGCAUGACUUCUUUCUGUUAGUGUCAUACCCUAAUUCAGAACGAGGUACGGACAAGUUGCGUAGUCAGAUGAUAUUUUGGUUACCGAUACGCUCCCCCCCCCCCGGCUCUAGUUGUUCGCUCGGGUAAGCCAGGUCGAGAAUAAUACACCCAGGUUUUAAACCUAGAAUAACACAGCCUCAUGCCGGAUCUCUAGUAGGAACGUUUGUUUGCAUCAUGUGCAUUUGACUUUGGGGACUCAACACAGGGGUUGGGUCCGUCUAGGACAAGUGUACCCAAAAAAAUAAAUGAUCAUCCUGAUGCAUUCUAUGUGCUACAUGUUGCAAUCUUCAAGGGUAAAAGAGGUCAUUUGGCGGACAAAUGAGGGUUGGGGAUAAAUGAAAAAAAGAGGGUGAAGUAUAAAAAAUAAAGCAAGCAGGGCCCAGUUAUAAUUUUCUUUCAUGUAUUUUCAAGAAAAGACCAAAAAAUUGAAAAUGAAAAAAAAAAUCCAAAAAGAAUUUUGCACUUUCCCAUAAAAAAAAAGAGGAAAAAGAAAAUCCAAAAAGAUUUUACAUGUUUCAUCAUUUUCAAGGAAAAGACAAAAAAAAAUAUAUUCUCUAAAUUAGUUGUUUUUUUUAUUUCUCCCGUAUCCAAUUUGCCCGAACUACGCGAACCCGAUUCUCGUCUCUUGGGGCGGGGUACGUAGGCAACCCACAUAGGAUCCGGUCUUCCUAGUGAAUCUUAUGUUCUUGGCUUCGCGAGGUCUUAGCCAAAUCUUGUAUUUUUAGUCACUUUUAGCCACAGGUUAAUUUUAGAAAAAUAGUCACAAUCAUGUCUUGCAUGUGUCCAACAGGAAGGGUUAUUGUCUCACAUAGUGUUCUAGGUCUUUAAAUUAUUUGGUUUUAAUUUUCUCAUACAGGUGUGGGUUUACUUACCGGAGUUUGAGCAUGACAGACGCCCGGGACCAUCCAGCCAGGAUCGCUCAUUCAGGAGUUGCUUAGGGGGAUUUUUUUAUUUUUAUUAUUCUUAUUUUUUUAUAUUUUGAGUCUGUUUUUCUUUUAUGUCGUC
This 3068-nucleotide long non-coding RNA is filed under the name Nicotiana tabacum (common tobacco). RNAcentral's name for it is "long non-coding RNA (NTAB_LNC019652)". The record is from RNAcentral. Lineage: Eukaryota; Viridiplantae; Streptophyta; Magnoliopsida; Solanales; Solanaceae.